Eptesicus fuscus (big brown bat) is the source of this 650-nucleotide long non-coding RNA. RefSeq lists it as uncharacterized. The transcript has 3 exons. Lineage: Eukaryota; Metazoa; Chordata; Mammalia; Chiroptera; Vespertilionidae. The record is from RefSeq and is a predicted model, not a curated record.
UUUUGGUCGAGAAUAUGUUUGUAUAUUUUCAGAAAACAACUCCGAGACCAUGUGGAUUCCAGCAACAGAGAGGAAUCGACAGGACUACUCCAGCCAUCAAGACAGAAGAGAAGCAGUCCAGAGAUGGAAGACACUGACGUCGCCUUGCCAUACUAGCAGUUAACAGCUUUGUGUCACUACAGGUUGCCCAGGACCAAACCAGAGAGGGGCCAGUGAGUGCCUCUUACAACUCAGAACCUCAAAGAAAACCUCAACCCUGUUGUUCCCAGAGCAGUCUUGCCAUCUAUUGGAUGGGUGGACCCCAGAGAAAACUGAGGGUGCUAAAAGUGUCUGGUAGUUGGUUCCAGGCACUCCAAAUUUCCUGUUCGUAGUGGCACUCCUCUUGAUUCUCCAAGCGGCACCUUUCCAGAUUCUCAAGCUUUGACCUCAAGUCGACAAACACCUGAGCCCAGAUACUGUCUUGAAAUUCUGCAAGUUGCAUCUCCAAAUCAUCAAUAUGCAUCCAUUGGAAACCAUUUAAUUCCAAACUACUGUAGACUACUACAUCAGGAUACUUAAUUAUUUUCAUGGUCUGUUCUAGACUUCUAAAUUGACUAAAUCUAUCACUAAACUGCUCAAGUAACGAGUCUAAAACAUGAUGGUACUUCAUA